This 1571-nucleotide long non-coding RNA is filed under the name Gallus gallus (chicken). The record is from RNAcentral. Lineage: Eukaryota; Metazoa; Chordata; Aves; Galliformes; Phasianidae.
CGGAGGGAUAUACCGACUCUGCGCCCUACGGGUUUGCGGUGUGGGUGAGCGCAGCCGCUUAUUGCUGUGACCGAGGAGAGAAGCGGCCCGGCCCGGGGCCGGGAGUGCCGGGUUGGAGCUCUCGAUUUGCCGGGGGUCGCGUUUGAGCUUGGCGCGGCGGUUCUGGAACCAGGUGAUGACCUGGGCGUUGGUGAGCCCCAGCUGCUGGGCGAUCUGGUCCCGGUCCGCCGGCGACAGGUAUUUUUGGUAGAGGAAGCGCUUCUCCAGCUCGUAGAUCUGGUGGUUGGUGAAGGCCGUCCGAGACUUCCGACGCUUCUUCGGCGUCUGCCGCUGCCCGAAGAUCGUCAUCCCGUCCCUUCCUGCCGACGAGCCGUCACAUUGCCACCUCGCCCCGAACAAACCGCCCCCCCCCCCCCCUCCUUCCCCGGCCCUCCCGGAUCCCCCGCUCCCCUCCGCGCGCCCUCGGCUGCGCGCACCGCCGCCCUCCGACGGGACCCCCGCGCCCCCUCUUCGCCUUACCUUCGGCCGCCUGCAGCACGCUGACUUCCAGCCCCUUGAAGGUUUUGCUGGCCAGCUCCUCCAGGGCGCACAGCGGCGACGUCUGCGAGAGCAGCGCCCGGCCCGACAGCGGCAGCCCGGCCGCGGGGUGCUUCUCGGCGGCGGACAGCAGGUGGGCCGUCCCGCACAGCGCGUAACUCCUCCGCACCGACGGCUUGUUGAGGAUGUCCUCGAUGCUGAAAGGGCCCCAGCAAUCCAAUCGGACGUGGGCUCCCAGCAAGAACAGCCGCGACGUGCCUACCCAGGGCCUGGCAAGGCGAGAACUCACUGUAUUUUAUUUUUAAGUAUUUCGAUGGGUACACCCAUCCCUCCUCCAUGCCGGGACAGAGAGCAGACGGGACCGCUUCCCCCGAACGACGACCGCACAGGGGUCCCCCUGCCCUGCGAUUUGGCUCUGGACAAAACUUUGUUGGCCGGAGGGGGGGUGGUGGUGGGGGGGCAGCGACACGGGGCUGCGACUGCCGAACCGCUCUGGCUCCUCCGAGAGCUGUAAUAUCUCCUCGGCUCCCGGCACGCGUGAAUAAUUCACCGGGCUGCCAAAUCUAAGUAACGUGUGUGGCAGCUCUGAAGGAGGCGAAGGCCCGUUUUUGGGGGGCAGGAGGAGGUGUGGGGAAUCAAUUGAAACUUAAUAUAGGGCGUGGGGGGGAGAAUGGCGGAAAUAAGGCAGGCAACUUCUUCUAAUAACAACUGGCUGUUAAUAAUUCAGGAGCAGUCAUUGGAUUAUAGCGCAAUAUCCGAAGUACGCGGUGCCGGCACAGUGCGGGUGGAUAAUGUAAUCGGAGCUCAUUUCGGCUUCCAAUAAAUUACAGCAGCAAAAGUUUCCUGUUAAAGCAGUUAUUUGUAUUUCUUUUUCUGAAGGUGAUCCCCCUCCCUCCUCCUCUUCCAACAACUGCAGUGAGGAAGUUAAUUAAAAACUAAUAUUCCCACCCCUUGCAAAAGCAGUACGGAGAUGCGGAGCGGGAGGCACUGCCAGAGUUUGCCCGUCAUCUCUUUCAACUUUGUGUGCUGCCAGG